GACGGAAGGUGCAAGCGUUGCUCGGAAUCACUGGGCGUAAAGGGUGCGUAGGCGGCUUGGUGGGUCUGGUGUGAAAGCCCCGGGCUCAGCCCGGGAAGGGCGCUAGAAACUGCCGAGCUCGAGUGCCGGAGGGGAGAGUGGAAUUCCUGGUGUAGCGGUGAAAUGCGUAGAUAUCGUAAGGAAGACCAGUGGCGAAGGCGGGUCUCUGGACAGUUCCUGACGCUGAGGCACGAAGGUCAGGGGAGCAAACGGG
This 253-nucleotide ribosomal RNA is filed under the name uncultured bacterium. RNAcentral's name for it is "partial 16S ribosomal RNA". It matches the Rfam family "Bacterial small subunit ribosomal RNA", at positions 524 to 776 of the family's 1533-position model. The record is from RNAcentral.